Long non-coding RNA from Tyto alba (common barn owl), 316 nucleotides. RefSeq lists it as uncharacterized. The transcript is spliced from 3 exons. The record is from RefSeq and is a predicted model, not a curated record. Lineage: Eukaryota; Metazoa; Chordata; Aves; Strigiformes; Tytonidae.
GGCCAAGGCGCCUGCGCGGGGGGGGGCGGAGCCAGAGGCGCUUAAAGGGGCAGCGCCCUGGGAAAGGCUCGAUGCUGCCACCUAAAGGAAGGUGGAGGUCGGGACGGCGCUGUAGGGAUCCACGAUGAGCUUGGCGCACCGCACCAUCAUGGCCAGGAGGAAGAGGCACAUGAGGACCACGAAGGCCACGGCAAAGCCCUUGUCCAGGUCGACGGCCGGCGGUGCCGUGGCGUUCUCCAUGCGGGCGGCCCUCAGGACCCCUCACUCCCAGCUGCAUUAGGUGCAACGAGCUUGGCUGACCUCCGGCAAGACAGAC